AUGAACGCUGGCGGCGUGCCUAAUACAUGCCAGUCGAGCGAACGGACGAGAAGCUUGCUUCUCUGAUGUUAGCGGCGGACGGGUGAGUAACACGUGGAUAACCUACCUAUAAGACUGGGAUAACUUCGGGAAACCGGAGCUAAUACCGGAUAAUAUUUUGAACCGCAUGGUUCAAAAGUGAAAGACGGUCUUGCUGUCACUUAUAGAUGGAUCCGCGCUGCAUUAGCUAGUUGGUAAGGUAACGGCUUACCAAGGCAACGAUGCAUAGCCGACCUGAGAGGGUGAUCGGCCACACUGGAACUGAGACACGGUCCAGGCUCCUACGGGAGGCAGCAGUAGGGAAUCUUCCGCAAUGGGCGAAAGCCUGACGGAGCAACGCCGCGUGAGUGAUGAAGGUCUUCGGAUCGUAAAACUCUGUUAUUAGGGAAGAACAUAUGUGUAAGUAACUGUGCACAUCUUGACGGUACCUAAUCAGAAAGCCACGGCUAACUACGUG
RNAcentral lists this ribosomal RNA (496 nucleotides) under uncultured bacterium. RNAcentral's name for it is "partial 16S ribosomal RNA". It matches the Rfam family "Bacterial small subunit ribosomal RNA", at positions 29 to 507 of the family's 1533-position model. The record is from RNAcentral.